GGGAAGCCCAGGACCGCCCUAAUUACCAGCCCUCCAACUGCUCAGGCUCAUUUUCCAAUUGUGCCUUUAUCUCUAAUUAUUGUCUUUACAGCCAGUUCGGGCACAGCAAGAGAAGAGAAGUACACAGUGUCGCAGAAAAUUGCCGGAGAGACCGGCAGUCCCGCUCAGGCGGCGGGUGCCCAGAGCUGCAGGGAGGGCUCCUCGGAGCUNNNNNNNNNNNNNNNNNNNNNNNNNNNNNNNNNNNNNNNNNNNNNNNNNNGUGCCUGGACACGGGGGGCAGGCUUCCUGAGCGCAGCCUGGGGAGUCCAGGGACCCAGUGGCCGCUGGCUGAGUGCAGACCCCCGCACCCAGGCCCAGGUGCCGACCGCAGGGCUCUCUCAGACAGCCCAGCCUGCCGAGCAGCUCUGCCCUCCCCUCAGCCACUGGGCCCGCGGGCCCAGAGGCAGUCACAGGCCCGGCUCCCACCCCCAACUGCUGGAGCCCCACCGGACAUGUUGGCCCCGGGACCUGCUCAGUGUCUCCUGGACCUCUGGCCUGACCCAUGACUCCCAUCCCAGGCGGCAGAGCCUGUCCCGCGUGCCGCCCCCAGCACACCCCCAGGGACGGGCAGGCGAGGCGCUGGAUUCACGCAUAGCUCCGUGCGGGCUGCAGGCCUGGCUCCUGGGGGCCUGGACCCAACACCUCAGUAGGCGAAGGCACACGCCGUCCUGCCAGCACGGGGUCCCCGGGCUCUCGCCCUGCCGGCCCCCACCUUCCCGGGCCCCCGAGCUGGAGAAGAGGAGGGGCGCAGGCACCCCCACCUCUCCAUCAACCCCCAUCCCGAGCCUGCCCAGGGCUGACAGCCCCCCACAAACCCACGCUGUUCCGGGGCCGCCCCGCACCACAGGCCGCUUGGCAGCCCAGAGCAGAGGCGCCCCGUGGGGAUAGGAGCUGGUCCAAGGCGCCCCGGGCUCAGCAGGACUCACCCAGGUAGGGAACCUGAGGCCCAGCGAGGAACCGCAGGGUCCCCAAGACAGCACCUGCGCCGUGCGCCGAUGCCCACCUGCCCAGAGUCUGCCCAGGGCCCGACGGGUGCACACGGGGCCCUCUCCUCCCCAGGGCCCACUGGGGGCUCUCAGCAGAGGUGGGAGGGCAGCCAGGGCCCCAGGCCCAGCCGGAGCGGACAGGCCCAGGAGCCACCCUCCCUGAACCGUGGCUGCUCGUCCGGUCCUGCCCUGGUCAGGACAGCCCCCAGCAGAGCCCAGCC
Molecule: long non-coding RNA, 1246 nt
Filed under: Capra hircus (goat)
Lineage: Eukaryota; Metazoa; Chordata; Mammalia; Artiodactyla; Bovidae
Description: lncRNA (ENSCHIG00010013164.1)
Source: RNAcentral